AUGGGGGAGCAGAUAGCGUUUCUGCAGCUGAGCAUGGUGGGUGGAAGGGUAAGGGGCUGCCCCAGGAGCUUUGGGGAGGCAGGUAGACCUUGUGCAGCUUCUGCCACGAACCCGAAAGUCUACGCUCUGCCUCCCAGCUGUGGGGACACACCUAGUUCCACAGUGGUCGUGGGCUGCCUGGUCUCGAGUUACUUCCCUGAGCCAGUGACUGUGACCUGGAGCCCGGGUGCCCAGCCCAGCAACGUGCACACCUUCCCAUCCGUCCUCGGGUCCUCGGGCCUGUACUCUCUCAGCAGCACUGUGACCGUGCCUGGCAGCACCUCGUCCGGCAAGACCUUCACCUGCAACGUAGCCCACCCGGCCAGCAGCACCAAGGUGGACAAGCGCAUUGGGAGGGGGUGUCCGAUAUGUCCACCCCCUGAGCUCCCAGGAGGACCGUCCGUCUUCAUCUUCCCCCCGAAACCCAAGGACAUCCUCACAAUAUCCCGAAAACCGGAAGUCUCCUGCAUGGUGGUGGAUGUGAGCAAGGACGACCCCGAUGUCCAGUUCUCCUGGUACGUGGACGAUGUAGAGUUGCGAACGGCCAAGACGAAGCCAAAGGAGCAGCAGUUCAACAGCACCUACCGUGUGGUCAGCGCCCUGCCCAUCCAGCACCAGGACUGGCUGAAGGGGAAGGUGUUCACGUGCAAGGUCAACAACAAAGGCCUCCCGGCCCCCAUCGUGAGGACCAUCUCCAAGGCCAAAGGGCAGCCCCGGGAGCCGCAGGUGUACGUACUGGCCCCAGCGCGGGAAGAGCUGGCCAAGAGCUCGGUCAGCGUAACCUGCAUGGUCAUCGCCUUCUACCCGGCCGACAUCGACGUGGGGUGGCACAGAAACGGGCAGCCGGAGCCAGAGGGCAACUACGGCACGACCCCGGCCCAGCUGGACGCCGACGGCUCCUUCUUCCUGUACAGCAGGCUCAGGGUGGACAAGAGGAGCUGGCAGCGCGGAGACACCUACACGUGUGUAGUGUUGCACGAGGCGCUACACAACCACAACUCGCAGAAGUCCAUCACCCAGUCUUCGGAGCUGCAGCUAGAGGAGAGCUGUGCUGACGCCCAAGACGGGGAGCUGGACGGGCUGUGGACGACCAUCUCCAUCUUCAUCACCCUCUUCCUGCUCAGCGUGUGCUACAGCGCCACCGUGACGCUCUNUCAGGUGAAGUGGAUCUUCUCGUCGGUGGUGGAGCUGAAGCAGACGAUUGUCCCUGACUACAGGAACAUGGGCGGGCAGGGUGCCUAG
Non-coding RNA from Lipotes vexillifer (Yangtze River dolphin), 1281 nucleotides. NCBI's taxonomy places the organism in Eukaryota, Metazoa, Chordata, Mammalia, Artiodactyla, Lipotidae. The record is from the annotation of a RefSeq genome assembly.